Molecule: ribosomal RNA, 468 nt
Filed under: uncultured bacterium
Lineage: Bacteria
Description: partial 16S ribosomal RNA
Rfam family: Bacterial small subunit ribosomal RNA
Source: RNAcentral
GACGAACGCUGGCGGCGUGCUUAACACAUGCAAGUCGAACGGAAAGGCCCUGCUUUUGUGGGGUGCUCGAGUGGCGAACGGGUGAGUAACACGUGAGUAACCUGCCCUUGACUUUGGGAUAACUUCAGGAAACUGGGGCUAAUACCGGAUAGGAGCUCCUGCUGCAUGGUGGGGGUUGGAAAGUUUCGGCGGUUGGGGCUGGACUGGCGGCUUAUCAGCUUGUUGGUGGGGUAGUGGCUUACCAAGGCUUUGACGGGUAGCCGGCCUGGGAGGGUGACCGGCCACCAUGGGACUGAGAGAGGGCGCAGUCUCGUACGGGAGGCAGCAGGGGGGAAUAUUGCACAAUGGGCGGAAGCCGGAUGAGGCAACGCCGCGGGCGGAAAGACGGCCUUCGGGUUAUAAACCGCUUUCGGCUGAUACGAAGCGUGAGUGACGGUAAUGGAUAAAUAAGCACCGGCUAACUACGUG